Molecule: ribosomal RNA, 370 nt
Filed under: uncultured organism
Description: bacterial SSU rRNA
Rfam family: Bacterial small subunit ribosomal RNA
Source: RNAcentral
CGAAGGGGGCUAGCGUUGUUCGGAAUUACUGGGCGUAAAGCGCGCGCAGGCGGUCUUCCAAGUCAGUGGUGAAAGCCCGGAGCUCAACUCCGGAACUGCCAUUGAAACUGUUGGACUUGAGGAUGAGAGAGGUGAGUGGAAUUCCCAGUGUAGAGGUGAAAUUCGUAGAUAUUGGGAAGAACACCGGUGGCGAAGGCGGCUCACUGGCUCAUUACUGACGCUCAGGCGCGACAGCGUGGGGAUCAAACAGGAUUAGAUACCCUGGUAGUCCACGCCGUAAACGAUGAAUGCUAGCCGUUGGGCAGCUUGCUGUUCAGUGGCGCAGCUAACGCAUUAAGCAUCCCGCCUGGGGAGUACGGCCGCAAGGUUG